CACAGACCCCUGGAACCUGACAAACAUAAAUCCUUCACUUAUGGACAUCUACCAGGAGGGAGAUGUUAGCUCAUGUCUUGACUCCAUGAUCUGAUCUCUUCUACUCUGUCAGCAGCAGUCUACGUAUAAACACAGACCCAGUGUGACUGGCAGUCAUAAUGCUACCCAUUUAUUGCUUUCUUCCUUCCCCUUUUGAGCACUGUCAAGAGUUGUGUAGAGAAAGUUAAGUACUGAAGUUCCCCUCAGACACGUAGGAAACAUAGGCCAGAGCUGAGCAACCGAGGAAGGAAAGAGACAACCUGGAAGUGAGACAGCACUCUGCCUGACUGCUCCACAAAUUAGCUAUGAGCCCUUCAAAAAGUUACUAGAUGUCUCUGAGCCUUGUGUUCCUCAAAGGUACAGUGGAAAUGACAGCCACAGCACCUCACAGGACUGCUCUUGGGAUUAAAGGUGCACACAGGUCCUCAGAGAAGAACUGCUCCCUGGGAGGCCACACAUGAGCAUCUGCACAGCAGUGGGGAGCAUCGGAAUGGGAGGCCCCCCGGUGUCACAGGUUUAACCUCGUGGAGAACUGGAAGAAAAGGCUGUCUUGACUCUCCUCGUGGAAAGGGUUGCAAAGGCAGAACUUGCCGGAAGCAGCUCUGAGGCUCUGUCCAGCCAUCUGAGGAGAGCUGUGAGAAAGGGAAACAUCUUCCUCUCUCCUACUCCCCGUUCUGCCUCCUCCCAAGCCAUUCUCUCCUUUCCUAUUCCAUCUCCAAGCUGAUAGCUGCCCCCCCCACCACAAUUAUUCUGGUUUCAGUCAUUCCACAAAGAAUGUUGUUUCCCAUCCCCUCAAAAGAUCUGAUAAUUUUUGAAGCAGAAAAUUCAAGGGUGAGGUAGUAAAUAUGGGGAACAACAAGCAGUCCAGCUCCAGGCGCUUCUGACUGGAUCAUUCAACACGUGUCAAGCGCAACAUCCUAUAUGCUAGAGGCACGUAAGCACCCGUGUGUGUGGUGUGUGUGUGUGUGUGUGUGUGUGUGUGUGUGAGAGAGAGAGAGAGAGAUCAGAUAUAUUGCCAAAACAAUGUUUCAUUAAAUAAUUUCUCUGAGUCUUUUUUCCAUGUUAAUUUGUACAAACAACUGAUACAAAUAUUUACUGUUUUAACAUAUACAUUACCCCAUUGUAAAAACACACCACAAAGUAUGCCACCUUUAUUAUAAUGGUUUAAACCCAAGUCUCAUUCCCUUUGUUUAUAAUGUGUAGAACAACUUGCUUCAAGUGUAAUACUUGGGUAGCUCUGCUAUAACCUGACUGGGGCAUUCUAGGACUUGUCCCCCACUCCGUGAGAGUGGGGAGACAGCCAGGUCCAAGGGAUACCUACAGGUGGGCAAGCCCAGCAGCUGGUGACAUGACGAGUUCACACCUAGACUGACUCCCAUCUCCCUCCAAUGCAUUGGAAAUCACCUGGCUUUAUAUUAUCCCCACACAUUGCUGUGGCAUAACCCUGCCUCCAGGAUCCCUCUUUGUGUCAUAAAUUCUGUAAGCUACUGAAUAAACAAAAGAAAAGGAAGAAAUAAACUUAAGAUCGUGAAAUGA
Molecule: long non-coding RNA, 1575 nt
Organism: Mesocricetus auratus (golden hamster)
Lineage: Eukaryota; Metazoa; Chordata; Mammalia; Rodentia; Cricetidae
Exons: 2
Source: RefSeq, a predicted model, not a curated record